Molecule: non-coding RNA, 185 nt
Filed under: Nitrospirota bacterium
Lineage: Bacteria; Pseudomonadati; Nitrospirota
Description: Nitrospirae bacterium (sediment metagenome) 6S RNA
Rfam family: 6S / SsrS RNA
About the family: E. coli 6S RNA was the first non coding RNA to be sequenced, but its function was unknown until recently. It consists of 184 nucleotides that fold into an extended hairpin structure with a large single-stranded internal bulge.
Source: RNAcentral
AUAUACCUGCCCUGUUGAGUGAUUAGGGGGGAAUGUUGAUCUCGCAAAUUAGAUCUUUCGGGAGCUGGCGUAAGGUAAACGGUGUGCAUAUCUUCCCGCGCGGAGAGAGCCUAAGUUACUUUCAAGGCACCCACUUUUUAAGGAGAGAGAUCUAAGCUCGGCCUACACGGCAGGGUGGGUUUUAA